This is a long non-coding RNA of Alosa alosa (allis shad), 867 nucleotides long. RefSeq lists it as uncharacterized. The record is from RefSeq and is a predicted model, not a curated record. NCBI's taxonomy places the organism in Eukaryota, Metazoa, Chordata, Actinopteri, Clupeiformes, Clupeidae. The transcript has 4 exons.
GGGAAAGAUCUUACCCUCCACUUCCCUUGUCGAGGGGGCUUUAAUGUUGAGGGCAAUCAAAACUAAGUGGAAGUUUUAAGGGGGGAGAAAUGGGACGGGCCCCAAGUAAGAUCGGGAGCUUACUUGAAACCGAGGGCCAAAUCGGAGGUUGACUGUCCGGCGGAUCUGGCGGCUUGAGGGCGGGUCCGCCACAGACACCUUUGCUGUGUGGGAAGGUUAUGAAAAGAAGGUUCCUGAGGAGCUGACCUGAAUGACCAUCAUGGCCUCGAUCUGUUGUGCCUAUAUAUUUAUUCUUUGCAAAAUGCAAUGAAUAUUUACAGAGCUGACCAUGGCCGUUUGAGAAUCAGAGGGAUGGAAAGGCAAUGAAGUGACUUGGCCUACAGGUCUUUUGUGAGCAGAUGCUUGGGUUUCCUUAGAAGAAGCAUCCGUGUCAUGAUCCCCUCGUGUGUGGUGCUACGCAUAUGGAGGGAGCAUCCGGAUACUUCAGGGCAGUAUUCAGACCCCUUGUCGACUGAACCGUGACUCAUGUUCAGCAACAGCAUCCUCUAUGGAAGGUCUGUCAAGCUGAGCACACAAGUCCUGGGGCACAGGAAUCCGCUGGACGGCAUCCCAAUCAGGUAGAGGGUCUUUGAUGAUCCCUGUCUUUGAGGACAAGAAAGAGGACUUUUGGAUAUUGGAUACUGUAAUACAGUGCAUUGUAGGCUGUAUACUGUACAAUAAACAAAUUGUAUGGCCCUGAACAUUGUGUUUUGUUUACAGUACUGAUGUGACACAAGUAGCAUCAGGUCUAAGUCAGCCUGUUGUGUGUGAAUCGAUAAGUUCUUUUUAGUGCCUAUACUGUUACACAUUUUGACUUGUUGUUUGUAA